RNAcentral lists this long non-coding RNA (286 nucleotides) under Physcomitrium patens. RNAcentral describes it as "long non-coding RNA (PPAT_LNC004641)". The record is from RNAcentral. Lineage: Eukaryota; Viridiplantae; Streptophyta; Bryopsida; Funariales; Funariaceae.
UUUUAAUUAGGAUUUGAUCUUGGAUUUGAUGAAGAUUUAUUAAGAUUUAGAUUAAGAUUAAAUUAGAAAUGAUUAUGAUUUAUUUAAAAUUUAUUUAGAGUUUCUAUUUUUAGUAUUUUUAAAUAUUUUUGAUUAUUUUUUUAUAUUUUUUUUAAGAUUAUUAUUAUUUCUUUCAGAUUUUAUUUUUAUAUAUAUUUUUUGAUUUCUUUAUUAUACUUCUUUGAAAUUAAAAUAUGACUUCUUUGUGUUUCUUUUGUAACUUCUUUUAAAUUUAAUUUUUAUUGAU